GGGAAAAAAGCCAUCCUUUCCUGUUUUUAAAGACCUAGCAAUAGGUAUGCUUAGGGAGGAGCUUGCGUCACAUUAGUUAGAUGGGGGGGUAAAGGCCUACCAAGACUAUGAUGUGUAGCCGGGCUGAGAGGUUGAACGGCCACAUUGGGACUGAGACACGGCCCAAACUCCUACGGGAGGCAGCAGUAGGGAAUUUUCGGCAAUGGAGGAAACUCUGACCGAGCAACGCCGCGUGAACGAUGAAGUAUUUCGGUACGUAAAGUUCUUUUAUUAGGGAAGAAUAAAUGAUGGAAAAAUCAUUCUGACGGUACCUAAUGAAUAAGCCCCGGCUAACUAUGUGCCAGCAGCCGCGGUAAUACAUAGGGGGCAAGCGUUAUCCGGAAUUAUUGGGCGUAAAGGGUGCGUAGGCGGUUAAAUAAGUUUAUGGUCUAAUUUUUUUUGCUCAACAUUGUGAUGCUAUAAAAACUGUUUAGCUAGAGUAAGAUAGAGGCAAGUGGAAUUCCAUGUGUAGUGGUAAAAUGCGUAAAUAUAUGGAGGAACACCAGUAGCGAAGGCGGCUUGCUGGGUCUUUACUGACGCUGAGGCACGAAAGCGUGGGGAGCAAACAGGAUUAAAUACCCUGGUAGUCCACGCCGUAAACGAUGAGUACUAAACGUUGGGUAAAACCAGUGUUGAAGUUAACACAUUAAGUACUCCGCCUGAGUAGUACGUACGCAAGUAUGAAACUUAAAGGAAUUGACGGGACUCCGCACAAGCGGUGGAUCAUGUUGUUUAAUUCGAAGGUACCCGAAAAACCUCACCAGGUCUUGACAUGCUUCUGCAAAGCUGUAGAAACACAGUGGAGGUUAUCAGUUGCACAGGUGGUGCAUGGUUGUCGUCAGCUCGUGUCGUGAGAUGUUGGGUUAAGUCCCGCAACGAGCGCAACCCUUAUUGUUAGUUACCAGCACGUAAUGGUGGGGACUUUAGCAAGACUGCCAGUGAUAAAUUGGAGGAAGGUGGGGACGACGUCAAAUCAUCAUGCCCCUUAUGACCUGGGCUACAAACGUGAUACAAUGGCUGUUACAAAGGGUAGCUGAAGCGCAAGUUUUUGGCGAAUCUCAAAAAAACAGUCUCAGUUCGGAUUGAAGUCUGCAACUCGACUUCAUGAAGUUGGAAUCGCUAGUAAUCGCGAAUCAGCAUUCGCGGGAUUUUUUUCC
RNAcentral lists this ribosomal RNA (1196 nucleotides) under Sugarcane yellows phytoplasma type I. Its description in RNAcentral is "bacterial SSU rRNA". It matches the Rfam family "Bacterial small subunit ribosomal RNA", at positions 161 to 1374 of the family's 1533-position model. RNAcentral also lists the same sequence under 1 other name. Lineage: Bacteria; Bacillati; Mycoplasmatota; Mollicutes; Acholeplasmatales; Acholeplasmataceae. The record is from RNAcentral.